RNAcentral lists this ribosomal RNA (459 nucleotides) under uncultured bacterium. RNAcentral's name for it is "partial 16S ribosomal RNA". It matches the Rfam family "Bacterial small subunit ribosomal RNA", at positions 338 to 795 of the family's 1533-position model. The record is from RNAcentral.
CCUACGGGUGGCAGCAGUGAGGAAUAUUGGUCAAUGGUCGGGAGACUGAACCAGCCAAGCCGCGUGAGGGAUGAAGGUACAGAGUAUCGUAAACCUCUUUUGUCAGGGAACAAAGGCGUGGACGCGUCCCCGGAUGAGUGUACCUGAAGAAAAAGCAUCGGCUAACUCCGUGCCAGCAGCCGCGGUAAAACGGAGGAUGCGAGCGUUAUCGGGUUUUUUGGGGUUUAAAGGGUGCGCAGGCGGUCUGUUCAGUCAGCGGUCAAGGCCCGGGGCUAAACCCGGGCCCGCCGUUGAAACUGGCAGUCUCGAGUUGGAGAGAAGUAUGCGGAAUGCGCGGUGUAGCGGUGAAAUGCAUAGAUAUCGCGCAGAACUCCGAUUGCGAAGGCAGCAUGCCGGCUCCACACUGACGCUGAGGCACGAAAGCGUGGGUAUCGAACAGGAUUAGAUACCCCAGUAGUC